AUUAAAUUUUGUUUUAGUUUAAAAAUUUUAUUUGAAUUUUAGAUACAUGUAAAUUUUUGUUAUUUAUUAAAUAUGUAGAGUAUAUGCAAUAUUAAGUUUUAAAAAUUAAGGAUACUUAGAUUUAGGAAUAUUUAUAGUUUUAACAAAAUUUGUGCCAGCAGUUGCGGUUAAACAAAUAAUGCAAUAAAAUUUUAUUAAUUAUAAUUAUUUUGAUUUAUAAGUUAAUUUUAAUUUAAAUUUAUUAAGUAAAAUUUUAAAUUUAAAAGUAUUUAAUUUUAUUAUAAUGAAGUUAGAAAAUUUUUUUUAAAAACUAGGAUUAGAUACCCUAUUAUUAAAAGAGUAAGCAAGAAAAAUUAAAUUAUUAAAAGUUAAGUUCUUUAAAAUUAAAAAUUUUGGCGGUAUUUUAGUCUUUUCAGAGGAACCUGUUCUAUAAUUGAUACUCCACGUUUAAAAAACUUAGUUUAGAAAUUUAUAUAUCAUUGUAAAAGAAUAUUUUUUUAGAAUUUUGAAUAUUCAAAAUUUAAUAAAUUAAAAAAAAUCAAAUCAAGGUGUAGUUUAUAACUAAGAAGAAAUGGGUUACUUUAUUUAAUAAUUACUGGAUUUAUAAUUUAAAAUUAUAAUGAAAUUGGAUUUGAAAGUAAUUAGAUUUAUAUAUUUUUAAUGAUUAAGCUCUAAGGUAUGUACAUAUUGCCCGUCGCUUUCAUAUAAAAUGAAAUAAGUCGUAACAUAGUAGGUGUACUGGAAAGUGUAUCUUGAAUGAU
Molecule: non-coding RNA, 761 nt
Filed under: Cucujoidea sp. 14 KM-2017
Lineage: Eukaryota; Metazoa; Arthropoda; Insecta; Coleoptera
Source: RNAcentral